UACGUAGGGUGCAAGCGUUAAUCGGAAUUACUGGGCGUAAAGCGUGCGCAGGCGGUUUUGUAAGUCUGUCGUGAAAUCCCCGGGCUCAACCUGGGAAUUGCGAUGGAGACUGCAAGGCUAGAAUCUGGCAGAGGGGGGUAGAAUUCCACGUGUAGCAGUGAAAUGCGUAGAGAUCGGAAAGAACACCAACGGCGAAAGCACUCUGCUGGGCCGACACUGACACUGAGAGACGAAAGCUAGGGGAGCGAAUGGG
Molecule: ribosomal RNA, 253 nt
Filed under: uncultured bacterium
Lineage: Bacteria
Description: partial 16S ribosomal RNA
Rfam family: Bacterial small subunit ribosomal RNA
Source: RNAcentral